Molecule: ribosomal RNA, 439 nt
Filed under: uncultured bacterium
Lineage: Bacteria
Description: partial 16S ribosomal RNA
Rfam family: Bacterial small subunit ribosomal RNA
Source: RNAcentral
CUACGGGAUGCUCCAGUGGGGAAUCUUAGACAAUGGGGGAAACCCUGAUCUAGCCAUGCCGCGUGAGCGACGACGGCCCUAGGGUUGUAAAGCUCUUUCAGCAGGGAAGAUAAUGACGGUACCUGCAGAAGAAGUCCCGGCUAACUCCGUGCCAGCAGCCGCGGUAAUACGGAGGGGACUAGCGUUGUUCGGAAUUACUGGGCGUAAAGCGCGCGUAGGCGGAUUGUUAAGUCGGGGGUGAAAUCCCGGGGCUCAACCCCGGAACUGCCCUCGAUACUGGCAGUCUUGAGUUCGAGAGAGGUGAGUGGAAUUCCGAGUGUAGAGGUGAAAUUCGUAGAUAUUCGGAGGAACACCAGUGGCGAAGGCGGCUCACUGGCUCGAUACUGACGCUGAGGUGCGAAAGCGUGGGGAGCAAACAGGAUUAGAUACCCGCGUAGUC